Molecule: ribosomal RNA, 879 nt
Filed under: Laccaria dallingii
Lineage: Eukaryota; Fungi; Basidiomycota; Agaricomycetes; Agaricales; Hydnangiaceae
Description: partial large subunit ribosomal RNA
Rfam family: Eukaryotic large subunit ribosomal RNA
Source: RNAcentral
UCCCCUAGUAACUGCGAGUGAAGCGGGAAAAGCUCAAAUUUAAAAUCUGGCAGUCUUUGGCUGUCCGAGUUGUAAUCUAGAGAAGUAUUAUCCGCGCUGGACCGUGUACAAGUCUCCUGGAAUGGGGCGUCAUAGAGGGUGAGAAUCCCGUCUUUGACACGGACUGCCAGGGCUUUGUGAUGUGCUCUCGAAGAGUCGAGUUGUUUGGGAAUGCAGCUCAAAAUGGGUGGUAAAUUCCAUCUAAAGCUAAAUAUUGGCGAGAGACCGAUAGCGAACAAGUACCGUGAGGGAAAGAUGAAAAGAACUUUGGAAAGAGAGUUAAACAGUACGUGAAAUUGCUGAAAGGGAAACGCUUGAAGUCAGUCGCGUUGGCCAGGGAUCAACCUUGCUUUUUUGCUUGGCUUACUUUCUGGUCGAUGGGUCAGCAUCAAUUUUGACUGGUGGAAAAAGUUCAAGGGAAUGUGGCAUCUUCGGAUGUGUUAUAGCCUUUGUUCGCAUACAUUGGUUGGGAUUGAGGAACUCAGCACGCCGCAAGGCCGGGUUUUUAACCACGUACGUGCUUAGGAUGCUGGCAUAAUGGCUUUAAUCGACCCGUCUUGAAACACGGACCAAGGAGUCUAACAUGCCUGCAAGUGUUUGGGUGAAAAACCCGAGCGCGUAAUGAAAGUGAAAGUUGAGAUCCCUGUCGUAGGGAACAUUGACGCCCGGAUCUGACCUUUUGUGACGAUUCUGCGGUAGAGCAUGUAUGUUGGGACCCGAAAGAUGGUGAACUAUGCCUGAAUAGGGUGAAGCCAGAGGAAACUCUGGUGGAGGCUCGUAGCGAUUCUGACGUGCAAAUCGAUCGUCAAAUUUGGGUAUAGGGGCGAAAGACUAAUCGAA